RNAcentral lists this long non-coding RNA (2801 nucleotides) under Lactuca sativa (garden lettuce). RNAcentral's name for it is "long non-coding RNA (LSAT_LNC004666)". The record is from RNAcentral. Lineage: Eukaryota; Viridiplantae; Streptophyta; Magnoliopsida; Asterales; Asteraceae.
AUGGAACAACUUUUACACAACAUGUAUGGCACGAUCCGGUACAAAGCAUGGAUAUUGGAAAAAUGCUAAAAAUUGGUUGAUAAAGAAUAUUGAGGGCCAAUACAAAGAAUAAAAAUAACUUUUUAUUAGGUUUGGAUAUCAAAGAAAAACAAAACAGGAAAAACUCAAAUACUCCUUGGUGUUGGUCUCUAGUUGCAAUAAACUUUUUUGGUGAAGAUUGUUUUAAUCGCAGUUAGGUAUUAGGUCCAAAUCAAAUUUCAAUUUAAUGCAUACAUGCAACAUUUCAUCAACAUAACUGCCAAUUCAAAUGGUUAUUGAGUUUUUUCCCUAAAGAUGGUAAUCCUCAAGAUAACGAAGUUUAAGAUCGUCCAUCGUUUCAGAUUCUCCGUUUACCUACAUUGCCAAUCACUUAGCUUAGAAAAUUUUGUAGAAUGCUAUAACAAAUUUUUCUAAGCUUCAAAUUGUGCAACAUUUAAUAGUCAUGAGAAAUAUGGACAAUUAUUAAAAUUCAUGAGAGAUAACCAAAUUUUGUUAAAACUAACGAAAAUAUAUAAUAUUUUUAGAAAAAAAUAUAUAAAGCAGAAAAUAGAAGACCAACCAUAAGUUGAACCAAUAUAAGGCAUUUGAACAUAAGAACAAAGGUUACAUGAAAGGAGGCAAACUAUCAAGACAAAACACAACAUAAAUGGACAAAGAUAUUGCAUGAUUCAUAUUGUAGUAUUCCCAUUUAAAUAUGUAUGAGGCUCUCACAAUCCAAUAAAAGCAACACAUAAAUUGCAUCAGCAUGUAAUAAAAGGUUCAGGAACUUAUCAAACAAGAAUAUGAAAACAGUAAUCGACAAAAUCCAAACAAACCUGAGAAAAUGGUCAGCAAACACUUUAUAGUCUUGACCCCUUUAUAAUUUUGUCAUUCAACAAACAAAUAAAAGCUUACAUGAUUAUCUCUAGAGUAAAUUACACGAAUAGUCCCUAUGGUUUAGGGUAAUUUGAGCGUUUGGUCCCUAACUUAUUUUUUUAACUCGGAAGAUCCCUAUUGUUUGUUUUUGUUACACGCUUGGUCCCUGUCUUACCUAAAAAUACUAUUUUUCCCUUGAUUUUUUGAUUUAUUUAAAUAAACACACCCCCAAUCCCACCGUCCUCACCUUACCUUACCUACCUCACCAUUUUUUCCUACUUAAAUAAUAGUCUUUUUACGUAAGAUAGGGAUCAAACGUGUAACAAAAAUAAAUAGUAGAGACCAAGCGCGUAACAAAAACAAACAAUAGGGACCUUCCGAGUUAAAAAAAUUAGUUAGGGACCAAACGUGCAAAUUACUCCAAACCAUAGGGACCAUUCGUGUAAUUUACUCUUAUCUCUAUUUAUUUGCCUGCAAUUCAACAGAUCGAAAAGCUAAUCUGAAUGUAAACAUAACAAUAGAAACUAUUUAUUUGUAUAUAACAUUAAAAUUCCCAAUACAACAAUAAGCCAAGAAAAAACCAACAUCAGGAGAAUGUGAACAAUCCAUACCUGAAACAACUUGAAAAAAAAGGCAUGUGAGUGAUAAAAUCCAACAUAUAACAGGGCUAAUCUCACCCCGGUUCCUUUUCUGUCCCAGAAAGAAAUUAAGAUACUAAAUCUAAUUCUCAAUUUGCUCCCUGAAAAAAUUAACAAAACAAAUAAUAAGAAUUUUUAUUUUCAAUGGAGUUAGGGCUUACACUUGAAUAUGAGGGGAAACAGAGGAAAUCAUUUGGCAACAAAAGGAGAGUUUCAGGGUGUGGAGACAUGUUCUCAUUAUCACCCGAUUCUUUGAUCAUCGUGUUCAACUUUAGAAUUGGAGUAGAUGAAUCAUCUCCCAAAUGUUCUUACACAGAAACAAAUUGAAAGCAAAUAAAACACAAAUAGUUAGGCAAACUAAUAGAAAAGGAAAGAGAACUAAGAGGUUGAAGCAGACUAUCGUACACAUUCUUUGAAUGAGAGGAAGGCAUAGUCAAAAAUACAAAAAGAAGAUGAAGUAGAGGAACUUGAAAAAUCAAAAACUAAAAAGAAACUUGAAAUCGACAACAACAAAGUUAUAUAUAUAUAUAUAUANNNNNNNNNNNNNNNNNNNNNNNNNNNNNNNNNNNNNNNNNNNNNNNNNNNNNNNGAGAGAGAGAGAGAGAGAACAUGGGUGAUGAGGGCGGCAAAUUUGUGGUGGUAAGCUGCUUGUGUGAUGGACGUUGGUAAACCUGCAAGUCUGCAACGAUUACAAAAUAUAAUCUUGUUAACUUGCACAUGAAAACAGAUGCAACUGACAACGGCUAGAGAAGGCAGAUUUGACAAUUGACAAUGGCUAUGUUUUGUGGUCUAGGUUUUUCACAUAUGUAAGGUUGAAUAAGGAUCAGCAUUUGAGUGAGUACAUGACAAUUAAUGGAGGAAGGGAUGUUCGAUGACCUUCUAUAGGUUGCAGCUACGGCGGAAGGAGGGUGGUGGUAUCGAAGGUCCAUUGGAAACUGAAGUGAGUAAGGAGAGAGAUAGAAGAGAUGUGGGUUUGACGGCGUCUAAUGUUGUGUCGAUAAGGUUAGGAUUAAGAUAGGGUAAAGAUACCAUGAGUUACAAGGUAUGAUCAUGUUGUAAUAGAGGAAAUAUGUUUAAUAAUAUAGUAAAGAUUUUUCAUGACUUUAUCAUCUUUGUAGAGCAAGAUAUGCUUUCAAUACUUGUAAAAUAAUUUUCUGGAAUAAAUUUUUUCUAGCACCUUAUUAGUUGUUUUGAAUUAUUCUUCGUUUCAUAUAUCUCAGUCUUAUUAUUUAAAUUUAUUUAUCCUACUUUAUAUCUUUUUAUUGUGCG